Molecule: ribosomal RNA, 2339 nt
Filed under: metagenome
Description: bacterial LSU rRNA
Rfam family: Bacterial large subunit ribosomal RNA
Source: RNAcentral
AGCCCAAAACAUAGAUGUGUAAGUUUACAGACGUUGCAUUUGUGUGGUUGUGGGUACUAUUUUCAAUUUACUGUAAUAAAUUGGUAGAGUUAAAAAAUUAGAUAUUAGCAGAAGUAUUUGGGAAAAUACGUCAUAGAAGGUGAUAGCCCUGUAAGCGAAAAUAUCUAGUCUCUAUUAAUAGUUACCCGAGUAGAACGGAACACGAGAAAUUCUGUUUGAAUCUGGGAGGACCACCUUCCAAGGCUAAAUACGUGUCAUCAUCCGAUAGUGAACUAGUACCGUGAGGGAAAGGUGAAAAGAACCCCUGUUAGGGGAGUGAAAUAGAAUCUGAAACUGUCUGCCAACAAUCGGUAGGAGGGCUAUAUCUGGGUUUACUCAGAGAUGCCUGACUGCGUACCUUUUGCAUAAUGGGCCAGGGACUUAUUUUUAAUAGCAAGAUUAAGCCGUUAGGUGUAGUCGUAGCGAAAGCGAGUCUGAAUAGGGCGUUAGUUAUUGGAAAUAGACCCGAAGCGGGACGAUCUAGCCAUGGGCAGGCUGAAGCCUCCGGAAACGGAUGUGGAGGGCCGAACCGUUGAAGGGUGAAAACUUCUCGGAUGACCUGUGGUUAGGAGUGAAAGGCUAAUCAAGUUCCGUGAUAGCUGGUUCUCCUCGAAAUAUAUUUAGGUAUAGCCUCAUGCGUUCUCCUCUGGGGGUAGAGCACUGAUUGGACUAGGGGGUCGAAAGACUUACCAAACCCUAUCAAACUCCGAAUACCAGAGAUAGUAGCAUGGGAGUCAGACUAUGGGUGCUAAGAUCCGUAGUCGAAAGGGAAACAACCCAGAUCGCAAUCUAAGGUCCCUAAAUCUAGACUAAGUGGUUAAGGAUGUAAAUUUUCAUAGACAGCCAGGAGGUAGGCUUAGAAGCAGCCACCCUUUAAAGACAGCGUAACAGCUCACUGGUCGAUGAAAAUUUGCGCCGAAAAUGAAUCGGGGCUAAGUCUAGUACCGAAGAUGCGGAUUGUAUAUUUAUAUACAGUGGUAGAGGAGCGUUCUUAGUGGAAUGAAGCAUUACCGUAAGGAGAUGUGGACUGCUAAGAAGUGAGAAUCCUGGCAUGAGUAGCGACAAAAGUGGUGAGAAUCCACUUCACCGUAAGCGUAAGGGUUCCUGGGCAAGGCUCGUCCUCCCAGGGUUAGUCGGGACCUAAGGCGAGGCCGAAAGGCGUAGUCGAUGGAAAACAGGUUAAUAUUCCUGUACCACCUAUUGUGAGUGAUGGGGUGACGGAGAAGGAUAGAUCAGCCAAGUGUCGGAUUACUUGGUUCAAGCAUGUAGAAGUAAGGAAUAGGCAAAUCCGUUCCUUUCUAACUUCGAGACGUGAGUUACGAGAGACCUAGUCUCAUAAAGUGAUUGAUUCCAUGCUUCCUAGAAAAACCUCUAAAUGUUGAACAAUAGGUGCUCGUACUGUAAACGGACACACGUACGCGGGUAGAGUAUACCAAGGUGUUUGAGAUAAUUAUGGCUAAGGAACUCGGCAAAAUAGCUCCGUAACUUCGGAAGAAGGAGUGCCUAUAUUAGGUGAAAGCUCUUGCAGCUGGAGCCGAAAUAGGUGGCACUGAAAUGGUGGAAGCGACUGUUUACCAAAAACACAGGCCUGUGCUAACCCGCAAGGGGAUGUAUACGGGCUGACGCCUGCCCGGUGCUGGACGGUUAAGGGGANGGGUUAUCCUUCGGGAGAAGCUUNGAACCGAAGCCCCAGUAAACGGCGGCCGUAACUAUAACGGUCCUAAGGUAGCGAAAUUCCUUGUCGUCUAAUUAGCGACCCGCAUGAAUGGCGUAACGACUUCUGUACUGUCUCGGCCAUAAUCUCAGCGAAAUUGUAGUGCUGGUGAAGAUGCCAGCUUCCCGUUGUGGGACGGAAAGACCCCGUGCACCUUUACUAUAACCUAGCACUGGAUUUUGAUGAUAAAUGCGUAGGAUAGGUGGGAGACUUUGAAGAUUCGAUUUCGGUUGGAUCUGAGUCGUUGGUGAAAUACCACCCUUUUACUGUUAGAAUCCUAACUGUAAUCCGUUAUCCGGAUUAAGGACAAUGUUAGGCGGGUAGUUUGACUGGGGCGGUUGACUCCUAAAGAGUAACGGAGUCGCUCAAAGGUUCUCUCAGCCUGAUUGGAAACCAGGCGUCGAGUGUAAUGGCACAAGAGAGCUUGACUGUGAGAUCGACAGAUCGAGCAGGUACGAAAGUAGGACAUAGUGACCCGGUGCCUCCAUGUGGGAGGGGCAUCGAUCAUCGGAUAAAAGGUACGCCGGGGAUAACAGAUUAAUCGCGCCCAAGAGUUCACAUCGACGGCGCGGAUUGAUACCUCGAU